CUCUGCCUGGUGGUAGCUCAGCA
This 23-nucleotide unclassified non-coding RNA is filed under the name Mus musculus (house mouse). RNAcentral's name for it is "oocyte_clustered_small_RNA8004". Lineage: Eukaryota; Metazoa; Chordata; Mammalia; Rodentia; Muridae. The record is from RNAcentral.